AAUAAACAGACCGCAACAAGAAGAACUAAAUAGCAUCAACACUGCCAUUUAGUAGCG
Molecule: unclassified non-coding RNA, 57 nt
Filed under: Bodo saltans
Lineage: Eukaryota; Euglenozoa; Kinetoplastea; Eubodonida; Bodonidae
Description: partial miscellaneous RNA
Source: RNAcentral